AUCCCGGGGGACAUCUUAGAAUUCUGUCUACCGCAAUAGGCAUUUGCGCUAGAUAAAUACACAGAUGCACAGCACAGGGGUUGGAAAAGAGACUGUUCAAACCACUGAGGAUCAGAUUUUGAAGAGAGAUAUGCCACCAGCAUUUAUUAAGGUUGAGAAUGCUUGCACCAAGCUUGUCCAGGCAGCUCAGAUGCUUCAGUCAGACCCUUACUCAGUGCCUGCUCGAGAUUAUCUAAUUGAUGGGUCAAGGGGCAUCCUCUCUGGAACAUCAGACCUGCUCCUUACCUUCGAUGAGGCUGAGGUCCGUAAAAUUAUUAGAGUUUGCAAAGGAAUUUUGGAAUAUCUUACAGUGGCAGAGGUGGUGGAGACUAUGGAAGAUUUGGUCACUUACACAAAGAAUCUUGGGCCAGGAAUGACUAAGAUGGCCAAGAUGAUUGACGAGAGACAGCAGGAGCUCACUCACCAGGAGCACCGAGUGAUGUUGGUGAACUCGAUGAACACCGUGAAAGAGUUGCUGCCAGUUCUCAUUUCAGCUAUGAAGAUUUUUGUAACAACUAAAAACUCAAAAAACCAAGGCAUAGAGGAAGCUUUAAAAAAUCGCAAUUUUACUGUAGAAAAAAUGAGUGCUGAAAUUAAUGAGAUAAUUCGUGUGUUACAACUCACCUCUUGGGAUGAAGAUGCCUGGGCCAGCAAGGUAAGUGUUCUUAGUGGAGAAAUAAGCAAAAUCCCCAACUCUCCCUGGCUGGGGGUUUUGAUUGGCACCUGUCUCAUACUUUAUCUUGUAAUUUUUGUAGCAUAAGAGUACUCAGAUAUUGUGAAAGUAAUUUCUUCUUCAUUUCUGCUUCAUAGGUUACUUGCUAUCUUUGCUAAUUUCCUUUGUUCUAAGGUAGAACAAGUAAAUAGGCAUGUGGGGUAGAUACUGGUUUAAGGCUGAGAUUUAUAGCUUUUCCAUCAGGCUGGAGUCUUAUUGGUUGGACUGGUGGAAGAGUAUAUUCCCGUGGAUGGGAGCUCUGCCUUGUAUAUGGGUGGUUCUUCCCAGCUGACUAAGUAAGAUACAGAUAUGCCUGUAAUUCUGAACUUUAUGGAAAACUUUUCUUUAACCAAUCUUUGAUCCAGAGAAAUCUACAGAGGAAACUCUUGGCAUUUCUAGAUGUGUCCCUUGAUCAUUCCAUUUUCCCCAAGGAAGGUUUAAUUAAAAUAUUAGUCUUCACAUUGGUCAGUUAGUUUGAGGGAUCCCUUCACCCUUUGUCUGGAAUCUCUUUUAGGACCCCAGAGGGGCUGGCAGAUUCCUUCUAGAGCCUGUUAGCAGUGGUUUUGUGUUGCUGCUGCUCUGGUCUGCUGCUCCCUGUUUAAUGACUGUGAACCAAGCUUUCAGGUCUGGGGGAACAGAGAUACUUGGGUUUAUACUUUCCUUGUAGGAGCCCAAGAUGUAGGCAGUGGGGGGAACACACUGUCCCCAAGAUGUAGCUUUCCCAUGUGUGACCCCAAUGUCUCCAGGGCCAGCCAGAAGGCUGGUAGUCAACUAAAGAAGGGAUUUUGUAGUAUGACUUCCAUUGGGUGCUCAGUAGAACGGUAUGUUCUCUGGGAUCUAUAAGGUAAUGUAAAAGCUGGGGCCUGAAAUCACCAGCCCUCUCUCUUGUUGCCCUGAAAGCUAAUUUAAUUAUAUAGAGUAAGUUAGCUUAUUUUAACUAUGGAUUUAUUUACAGAGACAUUUUCUCAUUGAUGUGAAGUUCUUGAAUAGAUUCUAAGACUGUAUUUUAAAUCUAUAUGGUAAAAUCUUUUUAACUCUGAUAUUUUAUUUAAUUUUGCUUUUGCAUAGUUGACAACUUUCACUUCCCUGUUAUGACUUCUUUAUGCAUCUUUUUUUGUUCUUUUGUUUUAUUCUUUUUCUCACGUUUAGAAGGUAAGCUUUCUCUUGCCCUCUAGUUUCUUUUUCGCUUCAAAAGAGAAAAGCAUGUCUGUGAGGUUUUUUUGUGCUGUGUGCCGUGCCUUAUUCUGUGUAUAACACUGUGCUUGAAUGUGCGUCAGAAUGUGAUUUAAUAUGGGACUCUAGGCAGUGCUGGGGAGACUGACUGUGGCUCAUAUUGAGUGAUUUCUUUGGGGAAAGCUGAAGGAAAGACAUUACUGUGGGCUAUCAGGCUGCCUAUAUUUGGUGGGUGCCUUCAUUUCUUUUUUGGCCUGGUCUUUCCCAUUGACUUCAUUUGAGGAGCAGGAUUCCCCAGGUAGCUGGGAGACCCCUGAGUUACCUGUGGACCCUGCUGUUGGGAAAGGAGACUUCCAGCUGAUGCUAUCUCUGUACCUGCCUCUCCCACCAGUCUUCUUUGCGGGCUCUGAAAUUUUGCUUUUGGAGAUGCAUCAUUGAGGUUUUAAGCCAUAAUGAAAGAGGGUAGGCUAGAGAGCUUAGAUGAGGCACCUGUCCUUCAUAAUAAUCCUAGCCUUCAAAAUCCAAAGGAAAACAGAAGUGAAGUGUGUCUAAAGGUCUUCCUAACUUCAUUCUGUGGCUCACUGCAUGUUUUGCUGUCCAAACUGAAUUAGCUGUAGUUCUCCAUGACCUCAUGUUCCCCUAACCCAAGCUCUUCGCUUAUUCUCUUUCUUUUGCUUCUAGCAGAUGAGAAAAAGUAAUAAGGAGGAACAGGCAUUUUAACCUUAAUGUUUCUCUAUUUUCAGAAGGGAAAAGCUAUCCAUCAUUUAGUGAAUAAAUGUUAUUGAACUUUAUUUUGUGCAAGUGCCAUCAAGAGCUGCUUCUCUCAUUAAAAAAAUGUAGUCAGUUGAGUUUUCAGGGCUAGGAUUAGGCACUUGGGGAUACAAGUGAAAUAGACCUGGUACUCACCGUGUACAGUCUUGUAGCUGCUCCCAGUUUUAUGCUGAGGAAAACCAAUUUGUUAGGAUGCUACAAAACUAACUUCAUCUGAAAUGAAAGAAGGUAAAUUAAAUUAGCUCAACUCAAGUACACGAUGACAUCAGAAUGAACAAGAGAUGUUUAUGUUUUAAUCUACUGACCAUAAGAAUGAAAAAGAGAUGCUUAUUUUUUAACCUAAUGACAUCAGAAUAAAAAAAGAGGUUUAUUUUUAACCUAAUUUUGCUUUUGUUAUACAUUUAUGUGGUUCAAAUAUCAAAGUGCUGCAAAAAGAUAUACCUGAUAAGUCUUCCUCCUAACCUGGUUCCCAUCCACUCUACCGCUCCUCACCCUCUAAGAGUAAUCAUUUCUAUUGGUUACAAAAAUAGAAAAAAAUUUUACCCUGAAAAUAGAAAUUGGUAGCUAGGAUUUUGGCUCUUUUUCAGUUUUGUAGCAUUACGCAUCUUUCAUUGCUCCACUGUAAGCAGUGAAUUAAUCAGACCUUUUGUCUGACUGUGACUGCUGGGUUCCCAUUCUGUUUAAUGCAUACAGUGUCUUUCACCUCUUCUCGCCCCUACCAAUAAAUAAUUAACUUUGUCUUACCAUACUUGUUUCAUGCCUCCCCAUUGGUGCAGUAUUCUUCUGGAAAGUGAUGAUUCCUCUAGAAAAGUGGGGGAAGAAAGACACUGAAGCCAUGAAGAGAGCAUUGGCCUCCAUAGACUCCAAACUGAACCAGGCCAAAGGUUGGCUCCGUGACCCUAGUGCCUCCCCAGGGGAUGCUGGUGAGCAGGCCAUCAGACAGAUCUUAGAUGAAGCUGGAAAAGUUGGUGAACUCUGUGCAGGCAAAGAACGCAGGGAGAUUCUGGGAACUUGCAAAAUGCUAGGGCAGAUGACUGAUCAAGUGGCUGACCUCCGUGCCAGAGGACAAGGAUCCUCACCGGUGGCCAUGCAGAAAGCUCAGCAGGUAUCUCAGGGUCUGGAUGUGCUCACAGCAAAAGUGGAAAAUGCAGCUCGCAAGCUGGAAGCCAUGACCAACUCAAAGCAGAGCAUUGCAAAGAAGAUCGAUGCUGCUCAGAACUGGCUUGCAGAUCCAAAUGGUGGACCGGAAGGAGAAGAGCAGAUUCGAGGUGCUUUGGCUGAAGCUCGGAAAAUAGCAGAAUUAUGUGAUGAUCCUAAAGAAAGAGAUGACAUUCUACGUUCCCUUGGGGAAAUAUCUGCUCUGACUUCUAAAUUAGCAGAUCUACGAAGACAGGGGAAAGGAGAUUCUCCAGAGGCUCGAGCCUUGGCCAAACAGGUGGCCACGGCCCUGCAGAACCUGCAGACCAAAACCAACCGGGCUGUGGCCAACAGCAGACCGGCCAAAGCAGCUGUACACCUUGAGGGCAAGAUUGAGCAAGCACAGCGGUGGAUUGAUAAUCCCACAGUGGAUGACCGUGGAGUCGGUCAGGCUGCCAUCCGGGGGCUUGUGGCCGAAGGGCAUCGUCUGGCUAAUGUUAUGAUGGGGCCUUAUCGGCAAGAUCUUCUCGCCAAGUGUGACCGAGUGGACCAGCUGACAGCCCAGCUGGCUGACCUGGCUGCCAGAGGGGAAGGGGAGAGUCCUCAGGCGCGAGCACUUGCAUCUCAGCUCCAAGACUCCUUAAAGGAUCUAAAAGCUCGGAUGCAGGAGGCCAUGACUCAGGAAGUGUCAGAUGUUUUCAGCGAUACCACAACUCCCAUCAAGCUGUUGGCAGUGGCAGCCACGGCGCCUCCUGAUGCGCCUAACAGGGAAGAGGUAUUUGAUGAGAGGGCAGCUAACUUUGAAAACCAUUCAGGAAAGCUUGGUGCUACGGCCGAGAAGGCGGCUGCGGUUGGUACUGCUAAUAAAUCAACAGUGGAAGGCAUUCAAGCCUCAGUGAAGACGGCCCGAGAACUCACACCCCAGGUGGUCUCGGCUGCUCGUAUCUUACUUAGGAACCCUGGAAAUCAAGCUGCUUAUGAACAUUUUGAGACCAUGAAGAACCAGUGGAUCGAUAAUGUUGAAAAAAUGACAGGGCUGGUGGACGAAGCCAUUGAUACCAAAUCUCUGUUGGAUGCUUCAGAAGAAGCAAUUAAAAAAGACCUGGACAAGUGCAAGGUAGCUAUGGCCAACAUUCAGCCUCAGAUGCUGGUUGCUGGGGCAACCAGUAUUGCUCGUCGGGCCAACCGGAUCCUGCUGGUGGCUAAGAGGGAGGUGGAGAAUUCCGAGGAUCCCAAGUUCCGUGAGGCUGUGAAAGCUGCCUCUGAUGAAUUGAGCAAAACCAUCUCCCCGAUGGUGAUGGAUGCAAAAGCUGUGGCUGGAAACAUUUCCGACCCUGGACUGCAAAAGAGCUUCCUGGACUCAGGAUAUCGGAUCCUGGGAGCUGUGGCCAAGGUCAGAGAAGCCUUCCAACCUCAGGAGCCUGACUUCCCGCCGCCUCCACCAGACCUUGAACAACUCCGACUAACAGAUGAGCUUGCUCCUCCCAAACCACCUCUGCCUGAAGGUGAGGUCCCUCCACCUAGGCCUCCACCACCAGAGGAAAAGGAUGAAGAGUUCCCUGAGCAGAAGGCCGGGGAGGUGAUUAACCAGCCAAUGAUGAUGGCUGCCAGACAGCUCCAUGAUGAAGCUCGCAAAUGGUCCAGCAAGGGCAAUGACAUCAUUGCAGCAGCCAAGCGCAUGGCUCUGCUGAUGGCUGAGAUGUCUCGGCUGGUAAGAGGGGGCAGUGGUACCAAGCGGGCACUCAUUCAGUGUGCCAAGGACAUCGCCAAGGCCUCAGAUGAGGUGACUCGGUUGGCCAAGGAGGUUGCCAAGCAGUGCACAGAUAAACGGAUUAGAACCAACCUCUUACAGGUAUGUGAGCGAAUCCCAACCAUAAGCACCCAGCUCAAAAUCCUGUCCACAGUGAAGGCCACCAUGCUGGGCCGGACCAACAUCAGUGAUGAGGAGUCUGAGCAGGCCACAGAGAUGCUGGUUCACAAUGCCCAGAACCUCAUGCAGUCUGUGAAGGAGACUGUGCGGGAAGCCGAAGCUGCUUCAAUCAAAAUUCGAACAGAUGCUGGAUUUACACUGCGCUGGGUUAGAAAGACUCCCUGGUACCAGUAGGCACCUGGCUGAGCCUGGCUGGCACAGAAACCUCUACUAAAAAGAAGGAAAAUGAUCUGAGUCCCAGGAGCUGCCCAGAGUUGCUGGGAGCUGAAAAAUCACAUCCUGGCCUGGCACAUCAGAAAGGAAUGGGGGCCUCUUCAAAUUAGAAAACAUUUAUACUCUUUUUUCAUGGACACUUUGAAAUGUGUUUCUGUAUAAAGCCUGUAUUCUCAAACACAGUUACACCUGUGCACCCUCUAUCCCAAUAGGCAGACUGGGUUUCUAGCCCAUGGACUUCACAUAAGCUCAGAAUCCAAGUGAACACUAGCCAGACACUCUGCUCUGCCCUUGUUCCCUAGGGGACACUUCCCUCUGUUUCUCUUUCCUUGGCUCCCAUUCACUCUUCCAGACUCCCAAGACCCAGGGCCCAGGCAAAUCAGUUACUAAGAAGAAAAUUGCUGUGCCUCCCAAAAUUGUUUUGAGCUUUCCAUGUUGCUGCCAACCAUACCUUCCUUCCCUGGGCUGUGCUACCUGGGUCCUUUUCAGAAGUGAGCUUCACUGCUACAGGGGAAGGUGGCCUCUGUGGAGCCCCAGCAUAUGGGGGCCUGGAUUCAUUUCCUGCCCUUCCUCAGUUUAAUCCUUCUAGUUUCCCACAAUAUAAAACUGUAUUUCACUGUCAGGAAGAAAUCACAGAAUCAUAUGAUUCUGCUUUUACCAUGCCCCUGAGCAAUGUCUGUGCUAGGGAAACUUCCCGUCCCAUAUCCUGCCUCAGCCCGCCAAGGUAGCCAUCCCAUGAACACACUGUGUCCUGGUGCUCUCUGCCACUGGAAGGGCAGAGUAGCCAGGGUGUGGCCCUGCCAUCUUCCCAGCAGGGCCACUCCCGGCACUCCAUGCUUAGUCACUGCCUGCAGAGGUCUGUGCUGAGGCCUUAUCAUUCAUUCUUAGCUCUUAAUUGUUCAUUUUGAGCUGAAAUGCUGCAUUUUAAUUUUAACCAAAACAUGUCUCCUAUCCUGGUUUUUGUAGCCUUCCUCCACAUCCUUUCUAAACAAGAUUUUAAAGACAUGUAGGUGUUUGUUCAUCUGUAACUCUAAAAGAUCCUUUCUAAAUUCAGUCCUAAGAAAGAGUGCUUGUCCCCUAAGAGUGUUUAAUGGCAAGGCAGCCCUGUCUGAAGGACACUUCCUGCCUAAGGGAGAGUGGUAUUUGCAGACUAGAAUUCUAGUGCUGCUGAAGAUGAAUCAAUGGGAAAUACUACUCCUGUAAUUCCUACCUCCCUGCAACCAACUACAACCAAGCUCUCUGCAUCUACUCCCAAGUAUGGGGUUCAAGAGAGUAAUGGGUUUCAUAUUUCUUAUCACCACAGUAAGUUCCUACUAGGCAAAAUGAGAGGGCAGUGUUUCCUUUUUGGUACUUAUUACUGCUAAGUAUUUCCCAGCACAUGAAACCUUAUUUUUUCCCAAAGCCAGAACCAGAUGAGUAAAGGAGUAAGAACCCUUGCCUGAACAUCCUUCCUUCCCACCCAUCGCUGUGUGUUAGUUCCCAACAUCGAAUGUGUAAAACUUAAGUUGGUCCUUUACACUCAGGCUUUCACUAUUUCCUUUAAAAUGAGGAUGAUUAUUUUCAAGGCCCUCAGCAUAUUUGUAUAGUUGCUUGCCUGAUAUAAAUGCAAUAUUAAUGCCUUUAAAGUAUGAAUCUAUGCCAAAGAUCACUUGUUGUUUUACUAAAGAAAGAUUACUUAGAGGAAAUAAGAAAAAUCAUGUUUGCUCUCCCGGUUCUUCCAGUGGUUUGAGACACUGGUUUACACUUUAUGCCGGAUGCGCUUUUCUCCAAUAUCAGUGCUCAAGACACAGUGAAGCAAAUUAAAAAAAAAAAAAAUCCCUGAAUGAUGAUUAGAGACAUCACCGCUAAAAAACUACAUUUAUAAGCUAGGAUUUGUUAUAUGCAAAUAUUUUCUGCCUCUUCUUUUGUUCUGUUUAAAACAAUAAAAUGCAUUUGUAUAAAAAA
This 7919-nucleotide small RNA is filed under the name Pan troglodytes (chimpanzee). Its description in RNAcentral is "processed transcript". Lineage: Eukaryota; Metazoa; Chordata; Mammalia; Primates; Hominidae. The record is from RNAcentral.